GAAGGCAGCAGUUUCAGCCAUGCCGGAACUAUUGUCCUCGGCAAAAUCAGCUGUAGUGAAGGGACAAUCACAAGGUCGUGAUGAGACUUAUGUGAAACAGCUUUCUGAUUAUAUAAUACCAAAUUUGGUGGAGGCUUUACACAAGGAGCCAGAAGUAGAAAUUUGUGCAAGCAUGUUGGAUGCAUUGAAUGAAUGCAUA
Glycine soja is the source of this 199-nucleotide long non-coding RNA. RefSeq lists it as uncharacterized. The record is from RefSeq and is a predicted model, not a curated record. Lineage: Eukaryota; Viridiplantae; Streptophyta; Magnoliopsida; Fabales; Fabaceae. The transcript is spliced from 3 exons.